UCGUGGACUUCGUUCGGUGGUGGAUCUCAUCCCUUUCUCAUCCGUUUUUGUUGCAUUAUCCCCGCAUCACUACAGAAUUUCUGAGAAGAAUUGUGUAAAUUCUCUGUGAUUGAUCUAUGAUCAAGAGUAGAUUCAGCUGCAAAUUUCUCUGAAAAUACUCUGAGAGGGUUGAUUUGUGUUUGAUUUCAAUUGAUCUUAGAACAGAUCAUAACAUUUUCACUCCAGAUUUUCUUUCCGAGUGGAUUUGUCAUGUUGGCAUGUGUUAUAGUGAAAGUAAGGAACUGGGGAUCCAGGUAGUUGUAAUAUUCCAUAUGUUUGCCUGAAUGAGUGAACCUUACCCUUGUCAUCCUCUGACCUGACAGAAAUAUAAGCUUGUGCCUGUGAAGGAGAUCACUUUGUGCUCAUCAACGGUUGAAAUGUUCUUAGGUUAAUUAUUUGUGUACCUUGCACUAUGAAGUCAUUGGAUUAUUAGACAAAUAUUUGGACGUUAUUUCAGGGCCAAUCACAGAUCAAGCUCCCAACACACAAAUCCUCUUCGUUGAUUAUUAGACAAAGUAGGAGAACAGAAUCAUCACCCAUCUGUAUGUGGAUUCUCCUCCACAGUGUGUUCGUAGUACUUUGAUUGGAAGUGAGUACUGUUUCUCCACUAGUAACUUGAAUAGCUUGAAUUGAUGAAAAGUUUAUGAUUUCUUUUUUAUGAAAAACACCCAGCUGUAUAUUGUAAAAUCAUCAGUAAAGAGGAUAAAAUACAAGUUACCUCCAAUGGAUGGAGUGCUGAUUGGCCUAACAAGAUCGACAUGAAUCAUCUCCAAUGGAGCUGAUGCUCUCUUGGCCUCGCCUUUAGGGAAUUCUGCAUGAGCAUGCUUCCCUUGUAAACAAGCUUCACAGGGAUCAGUAUUUGUGAUAUUUGGCAGACCAAGUGCCAGCUCUUGUUUAGAAAUCAUGAUCAAUUUCUUCAUGCUAAUGUGACCAUAUCUAUUGUGCUAGAGAUCUGAGGUCUUUUCUGCAACUAGAGCUAUAUUUGCAAAUCCAAUAUCAUCAGCUUCAAGUGCAAAUAGCAUGUUUGAGGUCAUACAUACCUGAGCUAUUUUUGCUUUGGAUUCAGAGUCCUUGAUUUCGUAGACUCCUCUUGAAAAUUCAAUCUCAAAGACUGAGUCCAUCAUUUGUCCAACACUUAGCAGGUUAUAAGCUAAGUUUGGAACAAAUUGAACAUCAUUCAGACUUGUAAUCUUUCCUUUGCUUGAGUAGAGAAUUAUUUUGCCAAUUUCCUCCACUGUGAGAGCUUUUCCAUCUCCCACUUUGAUUGAAUGACUCAAAGUAGCUUCAAUGUGUUGGAAUAAACUUUUCUCACUUGUCAUGUGGUUGGAGCAACAAUUAUUGAUGAGCCAGGUAUCUCCUGUCUUCUUUGGUUCUUCACUGAUUGCCAUAUAAAACACUGCACACUCUUAUAUUGCUUGCUGGAUUCUACCCCACGACCAAGCUCCAUACGGCUAGCUUCAAUGCUCUUGUCGCGCCCGCCCCCUCUACCUCUGAGAGAGUGGCGACCUCAUCCUCUCCCACAUCUGUUGGGGACCAUCAAAGUGAUACAGAGAUCCUUCACCAGCAUGCAGAGCCUUUUCUCCUUCAAGGCCUAUUGAGCUGGUGGAGUCUAGAACUGAGCACACAGAAAAUGAAGUUACUGAUGAAAUGAAAAGUAAUGUGAUUUCCUAGGUUUCUUUUGGGCCAGAACCCUUCAAUUUAACACGUCUUCAAAGUGAAAUCAAGGCUAUCUAGCAAGGCUUAUUCCAUGGAUUCAGCCACUUCCUGAAUGCAGCUAAAGAAAUGGCAAAGGAAUAUUUCAUCUAUUCUAACCUCACCAUCAAUGGUUGCGCCGGUGCCGUAGGGCAACCUAUGAUAACUUAAAAGAAUAAAUGAGAAAAACUAAAAACUACACAUAUUAUUCAUAAUCACUGAAGCCUUUAUAAAGGCAAAAAUUUGAAAAAAAUGAUCUCUACAAAAGAUGAGAUAAUAUAAUAACUAAUUUGAAUUUUAAUCAACAAACAACUAAUGUAAGCAUUUAAAUCUCUACAAAGAUCUCUUAGUUAAAUUAAGACAAACAUCAUUAUUUCAACAACCUGUGCAAGCUGUUCCUAAGAAGCAUGGCACCCCUUAUUCUGAAAUUUACGUGGAAAUCAAAGAGCUCUAAUAAAAUACAGAAUCUUUUGCCAACAUAUAUUAGUCUGACGUUUGUUCUUUUUUUAUUUGGAUGGAGUUUAUAAUUGUUAAUAGAUUGCAUUUCUUGUUCAUGAUUAAUUGGUGGUUAUGGAGUCAUGACUAAUUUCGCAUAUUUAUUAAUAGUCAUGAAUUUUCCACUUUGCUGCAUUAGUAGUUAAAUAGAUAUAUACUUCAUGCACAUCUUUGAAUGCCUUCUCAAUUGAUAUUGAGAAUGAAAUGAAGUGAGACUUUUUUUUUCCCAGUAUAGCCCUUCAAUUUAGGGCCAUUUCCACCUUUAGUUUA
Long non-coding RNA from Dioscorea cayenensis subsp. rotundata (Guinea yam), 2496 nucleotides. RefSeq lists it as uncharacterized. Lineage: Eukaryota; Viridiplantae; Streptophyta; Magnoliopsida; Dioscoreales; Dioscoreaceae. The record is from RefSeq and is a predicted model, not a curated record. The transcript is spliced from 3 exons.